RNAcentral lists this ribosomal RNA (482 nucleotides) under uncultured bacterium. RNAcentral describes it as "partial 16S ribosomal RNA". It matches the Rfam family "Bacterial small subunit ribosomal RNA", at positions 27 to 507 of the family's 1533-position model. The record is from RNAcentral.
GGAUGAACGCUGGCGGCGUGCUUAACACAUGCAAGUCGAACGAAACACCUUAUUUGAUUUUCUUCGGAACUGAAGAUUUGGUGAUUGAGUGGCGGACGGGUGAGUAACGCGUGGGUAACCUGCCCUGUACAGGGGGAUAACAGUCAGAAAUGACUGCUAAUACCGCAUAAGACCACAGCACCGCAUGGUGCAGGGGUAAAAACUCCGGUGGUACAGGAUGGACCCGCGUCUGAUUAGCUGGUUGGUGAGGUAACGGCUCACCAAGGCGACGAUCAGUAGCCGGGUUGAGAGAGUGAACGGCCACAUUGGGACUGAGACACGGCCCAAACUCCUACGGGAGGCAGCAGUGGGGAAUAUUGCACAAUGGGGGAAACCCUGAUGCAGCGACGCCGCGUGAGUGAAGAAGUAUUUCGGUAUGUAAAGCUCUAUCAGCAGGGAAGAAAAUGACGGUACCUGACUAAGAAGCCCCGGCUAACUACGUG